GCUGUUCCUUCUUGCUGAACUUCCAAACACUACAGAGACACUUUUACAAGAUGGCAGCCGUACUAGCCGCGAAGCGCGCCAAAUCACUGGUUUUCCUCGAAUAUCAACAUGAUGGCGGAUCAAAUACUUUCUAAUCAACAAGGGAAUAAAAACACUGAAAUUGAAACGAGAAACGAGAACAGAGGAAAAAACUAAAAUAUGCUUCCUCACUGCAUGGCUGAACUUUGAAGACUGAAACAUUCGCCGCCUUACUACGUUACCAAUUGUACCAGAGGAGACGCUGAAGCUUAAAUGUUUGCUUUGAAACAAAUGACUCGUAUCGAUGGCAACGAACAUUUUUACAUGUGAAAUGUAAUAUACCUACAUUACACGUAUAUAUAUCUAUAUAUAUCUAUAAAAACAAAAGAGAGAUAAAUAUAUAAAUAAAUAGUUGCA
RNAcentral lists this long non-coding RNA (435 nucleotides) under Polistes fuscatus (common paper wasp). RNAcentral's name for it is "uncharacterized LOC122517026". The record is from RNAcentral. Lineage: Eukaryota; Metazoa; Arthropoda; Insecta; Hymenoptera; Vespidae.